RNAcentral lists this unclassified non-coding RNA (314 nucleotides) under Hevea brasiliensis (rubber tree). The record is from RNAcentral. Lineage: Eukaryota; Viridiplantae; Streptophyta; Magnoliopsida; Malpighiales; Euphorbiaceae.
GAUAUUUCAUUAAACCUUUAGCAACCUCACGAGCUAUAAAUGUAGAUGUAGCAGCAAAAUUAGUUUGAUGAACUAAACGAGGAGCAGUAGCAUAAUAUGUCAUUCUCCACAGAGAGCCAUGUUUCACUAAGAAGUUGUAACUCCGUGGCAAUUGAUUGAAAGGCCAGGGUGUAUGUUCUGUCCACAAAUCAGUAAUAAACACCUGAUAUUUAUCUCCAUAUUCUUCAUUGAAUGCUGCCCUAAUAGCUUCAGCAGAUGCUCUGUGACCACCACCAGUAUCACUCAUCAAAAUAAGAACCUUUUUUGAAGGUUCU